This 468-nucleotide ribosomal RNA is filed under the name uncultured bacterium. Its description in RNAcentral is "partial 16S ribosomal RNA". It matches the Rfam family "Bacterial small subunit ribosomal RNA", at positions 28 to 507 of the family's 1533-position model. The record is from RNAcentral.
GACGAACGCUGGCGGCGUGCUUAACACAUGCAAGUCGAACGGAAAGGCCCUGCUUUUGUGGGGUGCUCGAGUGGCGAACGGGUGAGUAACACGUGAGUAACCUGCCCCUGACUUUGGGAUAACUUCAGGAAACUGGGGCUAAUACCGGAUAGGAGCUCCUGCUGCAUGGUGGGGGUUGGAAAGUUUCGGCGGUUGGGGAUGGACUCGCGGCUUAUCAGCUUGUUGGUGGGGUAGUGGCUUACCAAGGCUUUGACGGGUAGCCGGCCUGAGAGGGUGACCGGCCACAUUGGGACUGAGAUACGGCCCAGACUCCUACGGGAGGCAGCAGUGGGGAAUAUUGCACAAUGGGCGGAAGCCUGAUGCAGCAACGCCGCGUGCGGGAUGACGGCCUUCGGGUUGUAAACCGCUUUCGCCUGUGGCGAAGCGUGAGUGACGGUAAUGGGUAAAGAAGCACCGGCUAACUACGUG